RNAcentral lists this ribosomal RNA (923 nucleotides) under uncultured Virgibacillus sp. RNAcentral's name for it is "bacterial SSU rRNA". It matches the Rfam family "Bacterial small subunit ribosomal RNA", at positions 498 to 1421 of the family's 1533-position model. The record is from RNAcentral. Lineage: Bacteria; Bacillati; Bacillota; Bacilli; Caryophanales; Bacillaceae.
UAACUACGUGCCAGCAGCCGCGGUAAUACGUAGGGGGCAAGCGUUGUCCGGAAUUAUUGGGCGUAAAGCGCGCGCAGGCGGUCCUUUAAGUCUGAUGUGAAAGCCCACGGCUUAACCGUGGAGGGUCAUUGGAAACUGGAGGACUUGAGUACAGAAGAGGAGAGUGGAAUUCCACGUGUAGCGGUGAAAUGCGUAGAGAUGUGGAGGAACACCAGUGGCGAAGGCGACUCUCUGGUCUGUAACUGACGCUGAGGCGCGAAAGCGUGGGGAGCGAACAGGAUUAGAUACCCUGGUAGUCCACGCCGUAAACGAUGAGUGCUAGGUGUUAGGGGGUUUCCGCCCCUUAGUGCUGAAGUUAACGCAUUAAGCACUCCGCCUGGGGAGUACGGCCGCAAGGCUGAAACUCAAAAGAAUUGACGGGGGCCCGCACAAGCGGUGGAGCAUGUGGUUUAAUUCGACGCAACGCGAAGAACCUUACCAGGUCUUGACAUCCUCUGCAAUCGGUAGAGAUACCGAGUUCCCUUCGGGGACAGAGUGACAGGUGGUGCAUGGUUGUCGUCAGCUCGUGUCGUGAGAUGUUGGGUUAAGUCCCGCAACGAGCGCAACCCUUGAUCUUAGUUGCCAGCAUUUAGUUGGGCACUCUAAGGUGACUGCCGGUGACAAACCGGAGGAAGGUGGGGAUGACGUCAAAUCAUCAUGCCCCUUAUGACCUGGGCUACACACGUGCUACAAUGGAUGGAACAAAGGGAAGCAAAACCGCGAGGUCAAGCAAAUCCCAUAAAACCAUUCUCAGUUCGGAUUGCAGGCUGCAACUCGCCUGCAUGAAGCCGGAAUCGCUAGUAAUCGCGGAUCAGCAUGCCGCGGUGAAUACGUUCCCGGGCCUUGUACACACCGCCCGUCACACCACGAGAGUUGUGUAACAA